CCUACGGGUGGCAGCAGUCGAGAAUCAUUCACAAUGGGGGAAACCCUGAUGUUGCGCCGCCGCGUGGGGGAAUGAAGGUCUUCGGAUUGUAACCCCCUGUCUUGUGGGAGCAAAUUAAAAGGAUAGUACCACAAGAGGAAGAGACGGCUAACUCUGUGCGAGCAGCCCCGGUAAUCCAGAGGUCUCAAGCGUUGUUCGGAAUCACUGGGCGUAAAGCGUGCGUAGGAUGUUUCGUAAGUCGUGUGUGAAAGGGGCGGGCUCAACCCGCGGAAGGCACAUGAUACUGCGGGACUAGAGUAAUGGAGGGGGAACCGGAAUUCUCGGUGUAGCAGUGAAAUGCGUAGAGAUCGAGAGGAACACUCGUGGCGAAGGCGGGUUCCUGGACAUUAACUGACGCUGAGGCACGAAGGCCAGGGGAGCGAAAGGGAUUAGAUACCCGGGUAGUC
Molecule: ribosomal RNA, 446 nt
Filed under: uncultured bacterium
Lineage: Bacteria
Description: partial 16S ribosomal RNA
Rfam family: Bacterial small subunit ribosomal RNA
Source: RNAcentral